ACAAUGCAUCCUAGAUGCUGGGAUCUCUACUAUCCCUAGAACCAUGUCAUGUUUACUACACUAGACUCGAUGCCACUCGUUCGAUCAUUGUAGUAAGUUUUCUAGUUAGUUGACAUGCCACUCAUUCUUAUUUAGUGUUUUUACUACACUAGUUCAAUGUCACUCUACUAGGCUACAUCCAAGUUCAUCACUUUUGCCACUAUAGGAUUCUUUGUCUCAAGACCCAAUCCUCAUGCUACCCUAGUCCAUGUGUCCAACUCAUAGUUACACUACUAAGAAGCAUGCAAGGAAUAGGAAAUAUACAUCUACUAAUCCUAUAAUGCACAAUCAACAUAUGAUGAAUAAAAUUAACUUAGACAUAAAAGAAAAUCCGGAUGCUUCGGGAUGACACCCGCCACCUCUUGAGGGUAUGGAGGCUCUAGAAAUGCCCUCCAACGGACGUUACGACGAAGUCUCGGUCUUCUUGGUCCAAAAUGAUGCUCAAUCGGCCUUAUUUUGCCGAUAGCUUUUCGC
Molecule: long non-coding RNA, 513 nt
Filed under: Ananas comosus (pineapple)
Lineage: Eukaryota; Viridiplantae; Streptophyta; Magnoliopsida; Poales; Bromeliaceae
Description: long non-coding RNA (ACOM_LNC039133)
Source: RNAcentral